This 412-nucleotide long non-coding RNA is filed under the name Rattus norvegicus (Norway rat). Its description in RNAcentral is "long non-coding RNA NONRATT001910". Lineage: Eukaryota; Metazoa; Chordata; Mammalia; Rodentia; Muridae. The record is from RNAcentral.
CAGAAGCAGAGGAAAGAGGCCUCUGUCCUUCUCCCUCCUGUUCAGUUUCUUUUACCCCCUUUCCACGUCAUGGUCUUCCUGAAGCUUUCAGUUUGUCCAGGUAAAAGUAUGGUUUCAGAACCGGAGAACGAAAUUCAAAAGGCAAAAGCUAGAGGAAGAAGGCUCAGAUUCCCAACAAAAGAAAAAAGGGACACACCACAUUAACCGGUGGAGAAUUGCUACCAAGCAGGCGAGUCCGGAGGAAAUAGACGUGACCUCAGACGAUUAAAAGUACAAACCUAUUCCCACAGAAAUGGACAGCACGGAGCAAGAGAGACAGGGAGAGGAGGGGAAGAAAAACCCUACAGAACAAAAAACAAACUGCACACACAUUCACCGAGAAAGGGGGAGAGGGAAUCACAGCAGACUUUGG